UGGGGAAUAUUGCACAAUGGGCGCAAGCCUGAUGCAGCCAUGCCGCGUGUAUGAAGAAGGCCUUCGGGUUGUAAAGUACUUUCAGCGGGGAGGAAGGUGUUGUGGUUAAUAACCACAGCAAUUGACGUUACCCGCAGAAGAAGCACCGGCUAACUCCGUGCCAGCAGCCGCGGUAAUACGGAGGGUGCAAGCGUUAAUCAGAAUUACUGGGCGUAAAGCGCACGCAGGCGGUCUGUCAAGUCGGAUGUGAAAUCCCCGGGCUCAACCUGGGAACUGCAUCCGAAACUGGCAGGCUUGAGUCUUGUAGAGGGGGGUAGAAUUCCAGGUGUAGCGGUGAAAUGCGUAGAGAUCUGGAGGAAUACCGGUGGCGAAGGCGGCCUCCUGGACAAAGACUGACGCUCAGGUGCGAAAGCGUGGGGAGCAAACA
This 427-nucleotide ribosomal RNA is filed under the name uncultured bacterium. RNAcentral's name for it is "partial 16S ribosomal RNA". It matches the Rfam family "Bacterial small subunit ribosomal RNA", at positions 355 to 774 of the family's 1533-position model. The record is from RNAcentral.